AUGUUCACCUUGGCAACACACACACUAAAUUGGAGUGAUACAGAGACUAGCCUUGCCUCUGCACAAAGAUGACAUGGAAAUUCACGAAGUGAUCCAUAUUUUA
RNAcentral lists this small nuclear RNA (103 nucleotides) under Chinchilla lanigera (long-tailed chinchilla). Lineage: Eukaryota; Metazoa; Chordata; Mammalia; Rodentia; Chinchillidae. The record is from RNAcentral.